Long non-coding RNA from Acinonyx jubatus (cheetah), 964 nucleotides. RefSeq lists it as uncharacterized. The record is from RefSeq and is a predicted model, not a curated record. NCBI's taxonomy places the organism in Eukaryota, Metazoa, Chordata, Mammalia, Carnivora, Felidae. The transcript has 3 exons.
UUUGCUGUUUGAAUAACCAAGCCCGGGAGCCUGUGCCAUGGGGGGAAAUGUUUAGUCUGAUGAAGAGAACCCCAUGAGUCCAGCAUCUUCUCGAGACCACGGCUUCUGGCCAGAGCUUAUUUAAGAGAGCAGAAGUAAAAAGGACUCAUCCAUCAGCUGAUGAAUGUCUACUGUUUAACUAAGAGUUCCUGCUCAACUGGCCUGGCUCUCAGCCUGGACCAGCGGUGUCUGGGUGAAGGCAAAGAUGGAGGACCUGUCCUACAGUCAUGAGUACCAAAGGCAUUGGAUCUACACCCCCAAGGCCAGGAACCUGCCCCAAGGACCUCUCAGGAAGGAGCUGUGUCCAGAGGGUAGUAUAGCCACAAUUGUGGUGGUGGCGGGGAGGGGACCAGAAGAAUUUUCAGAAGACUGACCCAGUGGAGCAGAGCCAGGAGAAUCAGAAAGAAAUGGGUUCAGGGACCUGAGGACAAUGGGGACCCCUGGAACAAACCAUGCCUGAAGCUGGCAAGACUCUCUUUGAACUUUUUAAUAAUUGGUUCAUUCAAUGAUGUUACCUUAGACCAAGCUAAGUGCUCUAUCAUUUACAAUCAAAAGAAGUUUAACUGAUGCAAUCAGGGAACUCAGAAAAGGAGGGAAUGCCACCCUACCCUAUUAGGUCACCAAGCAGCCAGUCUAUCCCCACACCCACAAACUCAACAGGGAAAGGAGGAAGUAGGGGCUUAUUUGCAACAGGAACCAGAAUAAACCCCCUGGUGCUCAGUCUGGUUUCCAGGGUGAGUCAAGGGUUAAAUAGAUCUAUUGGAACAGGUCCUAAUCUCUGCCCCUCUGCGCACCCCCCUCAAAGGGCUCAGCUCUCCAUCCCUUUGCUCAGCUUCCUCUCCCCAAAUGUCAUGCAAAUUAUCCUACAGCAGCCUUUGACAGGUCCUGCUGAGUUAACUGCAGCUGGCUGCUGAAUCCUUAGAAG